CCUACGGGUGGCAGCAGUGGGGGAUAUUGCACAAUGGGGGGAACCCUGAUGCAGCGACGCCGCGUGGGUGAAGAAGCGCCUCGGCGCGUAAAGCUCUGUCAGCAGGGAAGAAAGUGAUGGUGCUUGAUGAAGAAGCCGCCGCUAACUACGUGCCACCAGCCGCGGUAAUACGUCGGGGGCAAGCGUGAUCCGGCUUUACUGGGUGGAAUGGGGGCGGAGACGGCGAUGCAAGCCAGGAGUGAAAGCCCGGGGCCCAACCCCCGGACUGCUCGUGAAACGGCGUGGCUGGAGUGCAGGAGGGGCAGGCGGAAUUCCUGGUGUAGCGGUGAAAUGCGUAGAUAUCAGGAGGAACACCGGUGGCGAAGGCGGCCUGCUGGACUGUAACUGACGUUGAGGCCCGAAAGCGUGGGGAGCAAACAGGAUUAGAGACCCUAGUAGUC
RNAcentral lists this ribosomal RNA (440 nucleotides) under uncultured bacterium. RNAcentral describes it as "partial 16S ribosomal RNA". It matches the Rfam family "Bacterial small subunit ribosomal RNA", at positions 338 to 795 of the family's 1533-position model. The record is from RNAcentral.